RNAcentral lists this ribosomal RNA (497 nucleotides) under uncultured bacterium. RNAcentral's name for it is "partial 16S ribosomal RNA". It matches the Rfam family "Bacterial small subunit ribosomal RNA", at positions 28 to 507 of the family's 1533-position model. The record is from RNAcentral.
GGUGAACGCUGGCGGUGUGCCUAAUACAUGCAAGUCGAGCGAACAGACGAGGAGCUUACUCCUCUGACGUUAGCGGCGGACGGGUGAGUAACACGUGGAUAACCUACCUAUAAGACUGGGAUAACUUCGGGAAACCGGAGCUAAUACCGGAUAACAUGUUGAACCGCAUGGUUCAACAGUGAAAGACGGUCUUGCUGUCACUUAUAGAUGGAUCCGCGUCGCAUUAGCUAGUUGGUAAGGUAACGGCUUACCAAGGCAACGAUGCGUAGCCGACCUGAGAGGGUGAUCGGCCACACUGGAACUGAGACACGGUCCAGACUCCUACGGGAGGCAGCAGUAGGGAAUCUUCCGCAAUGGGCGAAAGCCUGACGGAGCAACGCCGCGUGAGUGAAGAAGGUCUUCGGAUCGUAAAACUCUGUUAUUAGGGAAGAACAAAUGUGUAAGUAACUAUGCACGUCUUGACGGUACCUAAUCAGAAAGCCACGGCUAACUACGUG